CGAACGUUAGCGGCGCGCCUAACACAUGCAAGUCGAACGGGCUGUAGCAAUACAGUCAGUGGCGCACGGGUGAGUAACGCGUAGAUAAUCUACCUUCCGGCGGGGAUAACAUUCCGAAAGGAAUGCUAAUACCGCAUAAGACCACGGGGUCCUCGGGCCCUGAGGGAAAAGGUGGCCUCUCCUUGGAAGCCAUCACCGGAAGAUGAGUCUGCGUCCCAUCAGCUAGUUGGUAAGGUAAUGGCUUACCAAGGCGAAGACGGGUAGCUGGUCUGAGAGGAUGAUCAGCCACACUGGUACUGGAACACGGACCAGACUCCUACGGGAGGCAGCAGUGGGGAAUAUUGGGCAAUGGGCGAAAGCCUGACCCAGCCACGCCGCGUGAGUGAUGAAGGCCUUCGGGUUGUAAAAGCUCUGUGGGAAGGGGCGAAAAACUCAGACCUAAUACGUCUGAGGUUGACGGUACCUUCUUAGCAAGCACCGGCUAACUCUGUGCCAGCAGCCGC
This 503-nucleotide ribosomal RNA is filed under the name uncultured bacterium. RNAcentral describes it as "bacterial SSU rRNA". It matches the Rfam family "Bacterial small subunit ribosomal RNA", at positions 30 to 518 of the family's 1533-position model. The record is from RNAcentral.